Molecule: ribosomal RNA, 420 nt
Filed under: uncultured bacterium
Lineage: Bacteria
Description: bacterial SSU rRNA
Rfam family: Bacterial small subunit ribosomal RNA
Source: RNAcentral
UAAGGAAUAUUGCUCAAUGGGAGAAAUCCUGAAGCAGCAACGCCGCGUGGAGGAUGAAGGGUCUAUGACUUGUAAACUCCUGUAAAGAAGGAAAAAAUUCCCAUUAGAUGGGAGAUGAUGGUACUUCUGGAGUAAGCCCCGGCUAACUACGUGCCCGCAGCCGCGGUAAUACGUAGGGGGCAAGCGUUGUCCGGAUUUACUGGGUGGAAAGGGUGCUCAGGCGGAUUUGUAAGUCAGAGGUGAAAUCUUACAGCUUAACUGUGAAACUGCCUUUGAUACUGCAAGCCUAGAGUAUGGAAGAGAGUGAUGGAAUACCUGGUGUAGCAGUGAAAUGCGUAGAUAUCAGAUAGAACACCAAUGGCGAAGGCAGUCACUUGGCCCAUUACUGACGCUAAAGCACGAAAGCGUGGGUAGCAAACA